Molecule: ribosomal RNA, 253 nt
Filed under: uncultured bacterium
Lineage: Bacteria
Description: partial 16S ribosomal RNA
Rfam family: Bacterial small subunit ribosomal RNA
Source: RNAcentral
UACGAAGGGGGCUAGCGUUGUUCGGAAUUACUGGGCGUAAAGCGCGCGUAGGCGGCUUUGUAAGUUAGAGGUGAAAGCCCGGGGCUCAACCCCGGAACUGCCUUUAAGACUGCAUCGCUUGAAUCCGGGAGAGGUGAGUGGAAUUCCGAGUGUAGAGGUGAAAUUCGUAGAUAUUCGGAAGAACACCAGUGGCGAAGGCGGCUCACUGGACCGGUAUUGACGCUGAGGUGCGAAAGCGUGGGGAGCAAACAGG